RNAcentral lists this unclassified non-coding RNA (432 nucleotides) under soil metagenome. RNAcentral's name for it is "partial contains 5.8S ribosomal RNA, internal transcribed spacer 2, and large subunit ribosomal RNA". The stretch from base 1 to 120 matches the Rfam family "5.8S ribosomal RNA", at positions 35 to 154 of the family's 154-position model. The record is from RNAcentral.
GAUGAAGAACGUAGCGAAAUGCGAUACGUAAUGUGAAUUGCAGAAUUCUGUGAAUCAUCGAAUCUUUGAACGCAUAUUGCGCUCUCUGGUAUUCCGGAGAGCAUGCUUGUUUGAGUAUCAGUAAACACCUCAACUUCCAUAUCUUUUUUGAAAUGGGAGUUGGACUUGAGUGAUCCCAACGCUUUUCCUCACCGAAAAGUGGCGGGUUACUUGAAAUGCAGGUGCAGCUGGACUUUUCUCUGAGCUAUAAGCAUAUCUAUUUAGUCUGCCUAAAAAACAGAUUAUUACCUUUGCUGCAGCUAACAUAAAGGAGAUUAGUUCUUGUGCUGACUGAUGCAGGAUUCACAAAGACAGCUUCGGCCGACUUUGUAAACUCGAUCUCAAAUCAAGUAAGACUACCCGCUGAACUUAAGCAUAUCAAUAAGCGGAGGA